UUGCUUGCAACUAACACGAGUGGCGCACGGGUGAGUAACGCGUACGCGACCUGCCCUCAAGCGGAGGAUAGCCCCGGGAAACUGGGAUUAAUACUCCAUAGUCUGUGAGAACCACCUGAUUUUCACAGUAAAGCUCCGGUGCUUGAGGAUGAGCGUGCGUCCUAUUAGGUAGUUGGUGAGGUAAUGGCUCACCAAGCCGACGAUAGGUAGGGGGCGUGAGAGCGUGGACCCCCACACGGGUACUGAGACACGGACCCGACUCCUACGGGAGGCAGCAGUAAGGAAUAUUGGACAAUGGACGCAAGUCUGAUCCAGCCAUCCCGCGUGCAGGAUGACGGCCCUCUGGGUUGUAAACUGCUUUUAUGAGGGAAGAAACCCCUAGACAUGUCUGGGGCUGACGGUACCUCACGAAUAAGCACCGGCUAAUUCCGUGCCAGCAGCCGCGGUAAUACGGAAGGUGCAAGCGUUAUCCGGAAUCACUGGGUUUAAAGGGUGCGUAGGCGGCUAAGUAAGUCAGAGGUGAAAGGCCAGCGCUUAACGUUGGAAUUGCCUUUGAUACUGCAUAGCUUGAAUCAGGAUGAGGUGAGCGGAAUGUGGCAUGUAGCGGUGAAAUGCAUAGAUAUGCCAUAGAACACCAAUUGCGAAGGCAGCUCCCUGGCCCUGUAUUGACGCUGAGGCACGAAAGCGUGGGGAGCGAACAGGAUUAGAUACCCUGGUAGUCCACGCCCUAAACGAUGUUCACUCGAUGUGCGACUUUUAGUUGCGCGUCCAAGCGAAAGCGUUAAGUGAACCACCUGGGGAGUACGUCGGCGACGAUGAAACUCACAGGACCCGACGGGGGUCCGCACAAGCGGUGGAGCAUGUGGGGAACGUCGAUGGAUACGCGAGGAACCUGACCUAGGCUAGAAUGCGCGCGCUAUUCCGAGAAAUCGGGAAGUUCCCUUCGGGACACGAGCCAGCGUGCUGCAUGGUUGUCGUCAGCUCGUGCCGUGAGGUGUUGGGUUAAGUCCCGCAACGAGCGCAACCCUUGUCCUUAGUUGCCAGCAUGUUAUGAUGGGGACUCUAAGGAGACUGCCGGCGUAAGCCGCGAGGAAGGUGGGGAUGACGGUCAAAUCAUCAUGGCGUCACUGCCUAGGGCUACACACGUGCUACAAUGGUGCAUACAGAGGGUAGCGAAGCCGCGAGGUGGAGCCAAUCUCAGAAAGUGCAUCCCAGUUCGGAUUGGAGUCUGCAACCCGACUCCAUGAAGGUGGAAUCGCUAGUAAUCGCGCAUCAG
This 1276-nucleotide ribosomal RNA is filed under the name uncultured organism. Its description in RNAcentral is "bacterial SSU rRNA". It matches the Rfam family "Bacterial small subunit ribosomal RNA", at positions 76 to 1352 of the family's 1533-position model. The record is from RNAcentral.